Long non-coding RNA from Gossypium raimondii (Peruvian cotton), 719 nucleotides. RefSeq lists it as uncharacterized. The transcript is spliced from 2 exons. The record is from RefSeq and is a predicted model, not a curated record. NCBI's taxonomy places the organism in Eukaryota, Viridiplantae, Streptophyta, Magnoliopsida, Malvales, Malvaceae.
GAAACUUGCUGAUGCUCUAAAAAAUGAUAAAUUCCAGUACACACAUUUUGUGCAUAAGAUUAACAGCUUUGAUACUGCUCCGAAGAAGUUAUUGGCAUAUGAUUCUCACCUACGUCCCGACAGAUAUGCACUAGAGCAGGGUGACCUCUCUAAGGCAAACUUUGAAAAGAGCUCAGAUGUGAACGACUAAAACAUUUGCAACAAGAUUUUGAUGUGCUGCAACAAUCUGUUGACCAAUAUUUUCAUGAUUGGCUUUUGCAAACACUGCAGCUUGUACACUUUUACUUGUGUCUAAAUAUGGAUGUCAUUUCUAUCCCUUUUUCUAUUUGUGGAUUCAAUAUUUUGGGUGAGAUAUGCUGGGGAAACUCUUUUCAUGGUCAUAAUAAAUUCUUUACUGAUUGCUUUACAGUGAGGCAACUUUCUUCAAAGUAAGUUUCAAUGACAGUUUAUUUUUUUGCAACCCUUGGUGAUUUUGUUCUUCUUUUUUUGCAAGUUUAAAGUGAUGCUGACGACGACGACGACGAUGAUGGUGAUGAUGACGGUGAAUCAAACAAUUCAAGUGGUUUUGAAAUGGAAUUAACAAGAGAUGGUAUAGCUUCUAGUUUAAUGAAUUCACUUUAAAUUGUAAAUGCUAUUGUAAAAUUUUUAGUAUUUAUAUUUGGUAUAUAAAUAUUAUCCCUUUUUAAAACUUUAAUCCAAAUAUAUGUAAUAUUUUAAUU